GGAGGGACAAGGGUCAUUAGUCCACAUGGGAGCUGGCUGAGGCUGAUGCCCAGGGAUAGGGGAGCUGAGUGGGUGCAGGCCCAGGAAGUGAGCAAUUGCCAGUGACACCGGGUGAAGGGACAGGAAGUGAGCAAUUGCCAGUGACACCGGGUGAAGGGACAGGUGGAGGAGGAGUUGUGAGCUCAGCUGCACAGGACAUUACUCCAAAUGGGGCUGAGGAGAAGGGGGACCCCCAUACUCCCCACCUCCCAAUGCUGAGGCAUGUGGGUAGGGGGCUACCCAGGAGGGCUUCAGGGAAAAAGUGUUCUGAAGGAAGAGGCAGGAGGGUGGUGAAGGGGACAUUUGGGGGCCACCCCUUCUCCAGCUGGCAAAAUUGUCCUGUCCCUGCUGGGUGCGGUGGCUCAUGCCUGUAAUCCCAGCACCUGGGGAGGCUGAAGCGGGAGGAUCACUUGAGGUCAGGAGUUUGAGACCAGCUUGGGCCACACGGUGAAACCCGCACCCCACCCCCCACCCCGCCCAAUCUCUUCUAAAAAUACAAAAAUCAGCUGGGCAUGGUGGUGCACUCCUGUAAUCCCAGCUACUCGGGAGGCUGAGAGAUGAGAAUCACUUGAACCCAGGAGGCGGAGAUUGCAGUGAGCCGAGAUCGUGCCAUUGUACCCCAGCCUGGGCGACAGAGCAAGACUCCAUCUCAAAAAAAAAAAAAAAAAAAAAAUUUGCCCUGUCCCCUGAGACUCAGAGGUCAGCCCCUGCAGAGUCCCUUCUGCACACCCCCAGCCCCACCCCAGCCUUAGCAGCCCUCUGUCUGGGCAGGACUUUGUGGCCCUCUCUCCAGUCUGGAGACCAGAAGGCCAGGAAGGGAGGCCAGGCAUGGUGGCUUAUGCUUGUAAUUUCAGCACUUUGGGAGGCCAAGGUGGGAGCAUCUCUUGAGCUCAGGAGUUCCAAACUAGCCUGGGCAACAUGGCGAGACCCCAUCUCUACAAAAAAUAAAAAAAUUAGCUGGGUGGUGGCACAUACCUAUAAUCCCAGCUACUUGGGAGGCUGAGGUGGGAGGAUUGCUUGAACCCAGGGGUUCAAGGCUGCAGUGAGCUAUGAUCGUGCCACUGCACUCAAGCCUGGGUGACAGAGACCCUGCCUCUACAAAAAAAAAGAAAGUUAGCUAGGUGCCUGUAGUGCCUGUAAUCCCAGCACUUUGGGAGGCCAAGGUGGGAGGAUCGCCUGAGCCCAGGAGUUCAGUGCUACAGUGAGCUAUGAAGACGCCACCAUACCCCAGCCUGGGCAACAAAGUGAGACCCCAUCUCUAAAAAAGGAAAAAAAAAAAAAGAAAGAAACAAAAGAAAGAACAGGAAGGAUCUAAUUCCACUGGAUCAGCAUGAAAGCGGCGUGUGCCUCCGUAUGUCCAUUUCGCUUUCUCUGUCCUGCUCUGACCCAGCAGAUUGGCCUCCAGGGACUGCACCACUGAGACCCCACACUCUCUUGCUUCUCGUGAGGUGUGGCCAGUGGAGGCACUGGCAUGAGAUCAGGGGGCGGGAAGACAGAGCCCAGUUCCCUCUGGUGGCUUCAUCCUUUCACCUACAGCCCCUGCUCCUGCGGGGCCCCUCACCCAUGGCUACUGCCUGCUGAUCGGGAAACAUCACUCCCUCCCUCCCAUCAGCAAUCAGAUCCAGGAGUGCUUAGGGCCCCAUUACAGCCAAGUCCCAGGUCACCCUCUCUGGUCCAUUCCCCUAAUGCUGCCCACACCUUUGUAAACGCUCUCAAUUGCCCUGUGAGACAGCGUACCAUCUGUUUCCUGCCAGGGCCCGACGCAUACAGGGUGUGGGCAAGGGUUUGUGAAAUGCAGGGUCUUAGAGUUCACCCAGUUCACCUUCCCUUUUAAAAAUGUUUCACUUUAGAGACAGGCUCUUGCUCUGUCACAGAGGCUGGUGUCCAGGGGUGCCAUCAUAGCUCACUGCAGCCUCCAACUCCUGGGCUCAAGCGAUCCUCCCACCUCAGCCUCCAUAGUAGCUGGGACUGCAGGUUCACACUACCAUGUCUGGCUAAUUUUUCUUUUGUUUUGUUUUGAGACAGUCUUGUUCUCUGUCACCCAGGCUGGAGUGCAGUGGCAUGAUCUGGGCUCACUGAAACCUCCUUCACCUGGGUUCAAGUGAUUCUCCUGCCUCAGCCUCCACAGUAGCAGGGAUUACAGGCAUGCACCACCAUGGCUGGCUAAUUUUUGUAUUUUGUAUAGAGACGGGUUUUCACCAUGUUGGCCAGGUUGGUCUCAAACUCCUGACCUCAGGUGAUCCUCCUGCUUCUGCCUCCCAAAAUGCUGGGAUUCCAAGUGUGAGCCACCACGCCUGGCCUUAACCACCAUGCCCGGCCUUAAUUUUUGUAUUUAUGUUUUGUAGAGAUGGGGUGUUGCUAUGUUGCCCAGGCUGGACUUGAACUCUUGGUCUCAAGCAAUCCUCCCACCUCGGCCUCCCAAAGCACUAGGAUUAGAGGUGUGAGCCAUCUGCACCUGGCCUAACCAUUGCUUUUUAUGUAAGGGGAAACUGAGGCCCAGAGAGUGUGAGUGAUCUGUCUUGGGUCACUCAGCCCCAGGGUUGGGGCUCAUAGCUGUUCUGAAAAGGUUCUGGAGAGGCCAGGGCUUAUCUCACAGAGGUUGGCAGCCUGUCUGCCCCAUCCCCUGCCUGCCUCUCCCAGCCUGGUAGCUUCAAGAUCAUUUGAGCAUUUCCUCCACAGCAGGAGCCGGAUGCAUCUGCUCCACCUAAUAACCCCAUUAGGGCCAUUUGCGCCUCUCAGGGGCAGGCGCCUGGGAACCCAGCCAGCGCCCUCCUCCCUGACCUCUUGCCCCAGAGGGCAGGGCCCCUCCACAUGGCACAGGGUGUCUUCCGGUCUCCUCUCCAUCCCUCACCCUCCCCUACCUGCCCAUCAGCAACACAUUGCUCCUCCUGCCUGGCACCCUUCCAAGGUCCACCUGGCCCAAGUGUCCUGCUCCUUCUUCAAAGCCACCCCUCCCCAAGAUGCUGCCUCUGAAGCUCCAACAGUCCAUCUCCCUGACAGUUGUGUCCUCUCCUUCUCUCGUAUGUGGUAGUAUCACUGUCUUCCCCCUAAAGCAGUGGGCACCUUGAGGGCAGAACCUUGCCGCGGGCAUCUCUGGCCCCUGGGGUCCGAGCACUGAGCGGGAAUCCUGAUGAUAAGUGUUGCAUGAGCUGGGCACAGUGGCUCACGCCUGUAAUCCCAGCAGGAGGAUCACUUGAGACCAGGAGUUCGAGACCAGCCUGAGCAACAUAGUGAGACCCCGUCUCUAAAGAAAUUUAAAAAAUUAGCCAGACAUAGUGCCAUGUACCUAUAGUCCAAGCUACUUAGGAGGCUGAGGCGGAAGGAUCGCUUGCACCCAGGAGUUUGAGGCUGCAAUGAGCUAUGAUCACACCACUGUUCUUUCCAGCCUGGGCAACAGAGUGAGAUUCCAUGUCUACAAAAAAAUUAAAAAUUAGCCGGACGUGGUGUCAUGUGCCUGUAGUCCCAGCUACUCUCAGGAGGCUGAGGUGGGAGGAUCACCGGAGCCCAGGAAUUAGAGACUGCAGUGAGCUAUGAUGGUGCCACUGCACUCCAGCCUGGGCUAUAAG
RNAcentral lists this long non-coding RNA (3605 nucleotides) under Homo sapiens (human). RNAcentral's name for it is "PREDICTED lncRNA (TCONS_00239300)". The record is from RNAcentral. Lineage: Eukaryota; Metazoa; Chordata; Mammalia; Primates; Hominidae.